This 24-nucleotide non-coding RNA is filed under the name Arabidopsis thaliana (thale cress). Lineage: Eukaryota; Viridiplantae; Streptophyta; Magnoliopsida; Brassicales; Brassicaceae. The record is from RNAcentral.
ACUAGAGAUGAUUUCAGGGAGGGU